UUGACCAUAAUGUACACCAUAAGGAAGACAGAUUGGAAAGAAGUAUGUCUGGAGGCAGGAAGACCAGAUGUAGUGUCCAGGAGUUCUUACUUGCCUGAAGUUAACCUGGGAGCACCCUGGAGGCUCUAAGCUGAAGAUGCUGACUCCCCAAGAUUGCAAUGCUGCUAUUUCUGAUCACCAGAGACAUCAAAAUGUUCACUCUGUCUCCCUUGUCCACCAAAUCACCCUCUGUUUGCUCCUGCUGCUGCUGUUUCUGCCCAAAACCCGGGACACCAACUUUUGGAUGAAGAAUGCCAAUACCAAGAGUCACAGCACCAUCCCAUUCACUCUAGGCUGGUUCACCCUUGUGAUGAAGACCACCAUCCCAUGGCUAUUGGCAUCUUUAUUCUCCACUUCCACACCAAUCAUAGACAGAACACCUUUCUAUUUUUCGUCAGUGAGGGAGGCUCAGUGUCAAAGACAUUCAUUAUCCCUAUAAGCAACAUGCUUUGAGUAUAUAUACACACAAACACAUACAUACCUAUAUUUAUACACACACACACACACACACCUAUUUAUCUGCACUUUUAUCACCAAUCUUAUCUUUCUCAUGCAAUCAGGUCAUUUUCUGCAGAUUUGGUAAGCACCAGGAGAUUCAGACAUCAUAACUCUCUCUCUCUCUCUCUCUCUCUCUCUCUCUUUCUCUCUCUCUCAUUCUCUCCCUACUCCUCCCCGGCGGCCACCUCACUGCUUGGCUACCCUGUUUCCUGGGACAUGGAGUCCUCAUUUAUACUCAUUGAAAUGUGUUGAUGAGAAUUUUGCAGAAAAAAAUAAGAAAGCAAGAAGAAGAAAGAGAAGAAAAAGAAUCACAUGAAUGAAAUUUGGGUUCUAAUUAAUAAGUAAGACAGAGCAAAGUCUAACAAACCCAAAGUUGUAUUUUUUAUGCUAUGAGCACAUUGUUUAUUUACUAAAGAUGCUCCUCACUCCUUCCUAAUUCCUGUGAGACCAUGGAACA
RNAcentral lists this long non-coding RNA (994 nucleotides) under Homo sapiens (human). RNAcentral describes it as "HSALNT0069474". Lineage: Eukaryota; Metazoa; Chordata; Mammalia; Primates; Hominidae. The record is from RNAcentral.